RNAcentral lists this long non-coding RNA (262 nucleotides) under Hordeum vulgare. RNAcentral's name for it is "long non-coding RNA (HVUL_LNC000951)". Lineage: Eukaryota; Viridiplantae; Streptophyta; Magnoliopsida; Poales; Poaceae. The record is from RNAcentral.
GGUUGGGGGAGAAUGGGUCGAUCCCCUUACAAUUAUAUCGUCCGCAUCUCCUUGUAAUGCCUCGGUCCUCUUCUCUAAAAAUGAGUGGGAAAGGGUGGACACAACGCGGAAAUUCAAAGGGGACAAGGUUCUAGUCCUAUCUUGACUAAAGGUGGCCUUCUCAUGGCAAAGUAGUCUUUGUGAUGUGGUUGCGGGCUGGACGAUGACGUCCAUCCUGUAGCACUAAUCCGUUCUGAUCCUUUAUCACCAAAUUAGUAAGGUU